GGAGAGUAUACCCAGUGGUAGAGUGUGUGCUUAGCAUGCACAAGGUUCUGGGUUCAAUCCCCAGGACCUCCA
Molecule: transfer RNA, 72 nt
Filed under: Camelus bactrianus (Bactrian camel)
Lineage: Eukaryota; Metazoa; Chordata; Mammalia; Artiodactyla; Camelidae
Also listed under: 2 other names
Rfam family: tRNA
About the family: Transfer RNA (tRNA) molecules are approximately 80 nucleotides in length.
Source: Rfam by way of RNAcentral